This 497-nucleotide ribosomal RNA is filed under the name uncultured bacterium. Its description in RNAcentral is "partial 16S ribosomal RNA". It matches the Rfam family "Bacterial small subunit ribosomal RNA", at positions 28 to 507 of the family's 1533-position model. The record is from RNAcentral.
GAUGAACGCUGGCGGCGUGCCUAAUACAUGCAAGUCGAGCGAACGGACGAGAAGCUUGCUUCUCUGAUGUUAGCGGCGGACGGGUGAGUAACACGUGGAUAACCUACCUAUAAGACUGGGAUAACUUCGGGAAACCGGAGCUAAUACCGGAUAAUAUUUUGAACCGCAUGGUUCAAAAGUGAAAGACGGUCUUGCUGUCACUUAUAGAUGGAUCCGCGCUGCAUUAGCUAGUUGGUAAGGUAACGGCUUACCAAGGCAACGAUGCAUAGCCGACCUGAGAGGGUGAUCGGCCACACUGGAACUGAGACACGGUCCAGACUCCUAAGGGAGGCAGCAGUAGGGAAUCUUCCGCAAAGGGCGAAAGCCUGACGGAGCAACGCCGCGUGAGUGAUGAAGGUCUUCGGAUCGUAAAACUCUGUUAUUAGGGAAGAACAUAUGUGUAAGUAACUGUGCACAUCUUGACGGUACCUAAUCAGAAAGCCACGGCUAACUACAUG